RNAcentral lists this transfer RNA (75 nucleotides) under Bacillus cereus. RNAcentral's name for it is "tRNA-Cys". It matches the Rfam family "tRNA". From Rfam's summary of the family: Transfer RNA (tRNA) molecules are approximately 80 nucleotides in length. Their secondary structure includes four short double-helical elements and three loops (D, anti-codon, and T loops). Further hydrogen bonds mediate the characteristic L-shaped molecular structure. tRNAs have two regions of fundamental functional importance: the anti-codon, which is responsible for specific mRNA codon recognition, and the 3' end, to which the tRNAs corresponding amino acid is attached (by aminoacyl-tRNA synthetases). tRNAs cope with the degeneracy of the genetic code in two manners: having more than one tRNA (with a specific anti-codon) for a particular amino acid; and 'wobble' base-pairing, i.e. permitting non-standard base-pairing at the 3rd anti-codon position. Lineage: Bacteria; Bacillati; Bacillota; Bacilli; Caryophanales; Bacillaceae. The record is from RNAcentral. RNAcentral also lists the same sequence under 14 other names.
GCAGAUGUGGCGAAGUGGCUUAACGCGAUUGGCUGCAACCCAAUUAUCUCGCAGGUUCAAAUCCUGUCUUCUGCU